This is a non-coding RNA of Macaca mulatta (Rhesus monkey), 756 nucleotides long. The record is from RefSeq and is a predicted model, not a curated record. Lineage: Eukaryota; Metazoa; Chordata; Mammalia; Primates; Cercopithecidae.
UCUUCUGUCCUUCAUCUUUCUUCUGUGCUGGAUGCUUCCUGCCCUCAAACUUCAGACUCCAAGUUCUCCAGCUUUUGGUUUCUUGGACUCACACCAGUGAUUUGCCAGGGACUCUCGGGCUUACUACCACAGACUGAAGGCUGCACUGUUGGCUUCCCUACUUUUGAGGUUUGGGGGCUGGCUUCCUAGUUUCUCAGCUUGUGGAUGACCUACUGUGGGGCUUCACCUUGUAAUCAGGUGGUGAGAAAACAACCUGAACCUGGCUGAGCUAGGGAACAAAAAAUUCCUGCAUCGUUGUUCUAUAACAUUCUUCUUUCUUUGGACCCAGGAAUCCCAAGAGAGCUUGCUUCCUCUAUCUGCCAUUUGAGGACACCACUAGGAGACAAGCAUCUAAGAACCAGGAGAGUAUUAGGCCAUUCUUGCAUUGCUAUAAAAAAAAUACCUGAGACUGUGUAAUUUAUUUUUUUAAAAAAAGGUUUAAUUGGCUCAUGUUUCUUCAGGCUAUGUAACAAGCAUGGCACUGGCAUCUGCCCAGCUCCUGGGGACACCUUAAGGAACUUUGACUCAUGUCAGAAGGUGAAGUGACAGCAGGCACUUCAGAUGCCAAAAGCAGGAGCAAAGAGGGGCUGUGGAAGGUGCCAUAUACUUUUAAAUUGGCAGAUCUCAUGAGGACUCAGAGGGAGAGCUCACUUAUCACCAAGGGGAUGGCCCAAGCCAUUCAUGAGAAAUCCGCCCCCAUGAUCUCAACACCUCCCA